AUGCACGCUAGCGAUAGGCUUAACACCUGCAAGUCGAGGGGCAGCAUGGUCUUAGCUUGCUAAGACUGAUGGCGACCGGCGCACGGGUGCGUAACGCGUAUGCAACUUGCCUCACAGAGGGGGAUAACCCGUCGAAAGACGGACUAAUACCGCGUACACUCCAUCUUGGGCAUCCAAGGUAGAGGAAAUGAAAUUCGCUGUGAGAUAGGCAUGCGUCCCAUUAGCUAGUUGGUGAGGUAACGGCUCACCAAGGCGACGAUGGGUAGGGGAACUGAGAGGUUGAACCCCCACACUGGUACUGAGACACGGACCAGACUCCUACGGGAGGCAGCAGUGAGGAAUAUUGGUCAAUGGGCGAGAGCCUGAACCAGCCAAGUCGCGUGAAGGAUGACUGUCUUAUGGAUUGUAAACUUCUUUUAUACGGGAAUAACAAGAGUCACGUGUGACUCCCUGCAUGUACCGUAUGAAUAAGCAUCGGCUAACUCCGUG
This 489-nucleotide ribosomal RNA is filed under the name uncultured bacterium. RNAcentral's name for it is "partial 16S ribosomal RNA". It matches the Rfam family "Bacterial small subunit ribosomal RNA", at positions 29 to 507 of the family's 1533-position model. The record is from RNAcentral.